CCUACGGGAGGCAGCAGUGAGGAAUAAUGGGCAAUGGCCGGAAGGCUGACCCAGCAACGCCGCGUGGAGGACGAAGGCUUUCGGGUUGUGAACUCCUUUUCCGGGGGACGAGGAAGGACGGUACCCUGGGAAUAAGUCACGGCUAACUACGUGCCAGCAGCCGCGGUAAUA
Molecule: ribosomal RNA, 171 nt
Filed under: uncultured Bacillota bacterium
Lineage: Bacteria; Bacillati; Bacillota
Description: uncultured Firmicutes bacterium partial 16S ribosomal RNA
Rfam family: Bacterial small subunit ribosomal RNA
Source: RNAcentral